Molecule: ribosomal RNA, 800 nt
Filed under: unidentified microorganism
Description: bacterial SSU rRNA
Rfam family: Bacterial small subunit ribosomal RNA
Source: RNAcentral
GGCAGACUUGAGUACUGCAGGGGAGACUGGAAUUCCUGGUGUAGCGGUGGAAUGCGCAGAUAUCAGGAGGAACACCGGUGGCGAAGGCGGGUCUCUGGGCAGUAACUGACGCUGAGGAGCGAAAGCGUGGGGAGCGAACAGGAUUAGAUACCCUGGUAGUCCACGCCGUAAACGGUGGGUACUAGGUGUGGGUUUCCUUCCUUGGGAUCCGUGCCGUAGCUAACGCAUUAAGUACCCCGCCUGGGGAGUACGGCCGCAAGGCUAAAACUCAAAGAAAUUGACGGGGGCCCGCACAAGCGGCGGAGCAUGUGGAUUAAUUCGAUGCAACGCGAAGAACCUUACCUGGGUUUGACAUGCACAGGACGCUGGUAGAGAUAUCAGUUCCCUUGUGGCCUGUGUGCAGGUGGUGCAUGGCUGUCGUCAGCUCGUGUCGUGAGAUGUUGGGUUAAGUCCCGCAACGAGCGCAACCCCUAUCUUAUGUUGCCAGCGCGUUAUGGCGGGGACUCGUAAGAGACUGCCGGGGUCAACUCGGAGGAAGGUGGGGAUGACGUCAAGUCAUCAUGCCCCUUAUGUCCAGGGCUUCACACAUGCUACAAUGGCCGGUACAGAGGGCUGCGAAUCCGUAAGGUGGAGCGAAUCCCUUCAAAGCCGGUCUCAGUUCGGAUUGGGGUCUGCAACUCGACCCCAUGAAGUCGGAGUCGCUAGUAAUCGCAGAUCAGCAACGCUGCGGUGAAUACGUUCCCGNNCNNNGUACACACCGCCCGUCACGNNCAUGAAAGUCGGUAACACCCGAAGCCGGU